GACGAACGCUGGCGGCGUGCCUAAUACAUGCAAGUCGAACGCUUCUUUCCUCCCGAGUGCUUGCACUCAAUUGGAAAGAGGAGUGGCGGACGGGUGAGUAACACGUGGGUAACCUACCCAUCAGAGGGGGAUAACACUUGGAAACAGGUGCUAAUACCGCAUAACAGUUUAUGCCGCAUGGCAUAAGAGUGAAAGGCGCUUUCGGGUGUCGCUGAUGGAUGGACCCGCGGUGCAUUAGCUAGUUGGUGAGGUAACGGCUCACCAAGGCCACGAUGCAUAGCUGACCUGAGAGGGUGAUCGGCCACACUGGGACUGAGACACGGCCCAGACUCCUACGGGAGGCAGCAGUAGGGAAUCUUCGGCAAUGGACGAAAGUCUGACCGAGCAACGCCGCGUGAGUGAAGAAGGUUUUCGGAUCGUAAAACUCUGUUGUUAGAGAAGAACAAGGACGUUAGUAACUGAACGUCCCCUGACGGUAUCUAACCAGAAAGCCACGGCUAACUACGUG
Molecule: ribosomal RNA, 508 nt
Filed under: uncultured bacterium
Lineage: Bacteria
Description: partial 16S ribosomal RNA
Rfam family: Bacterial small subunit ribosomal RNA
Source: RNAcentral